This 800-nucleotide ribosomal RNA is filed under the name uncultured bacterium. Its description in RNAcentral is "bacterial SSU rRNA". It matches the Rfam family "Bacterial small subunit ribosomal RNA", at positions 8 to 807 of the family's 1533-position model. The record is from RNAcentral.
AGAGUUUGAUCAUGGCUCAGGAUGAACGCUGGCGGCGUGCCUAACACAUGCAAGUCGAACGAAGCGCGCUGGGGAAGUCCUUCGGGAUGGAAGCGGAGCGACUGAGUGGCGGACGGGUGAGUAACGCGUGGGUAACCUGGCCCAUACAGGGGGAUAACAGCUGGAAACGGCUGCUAAUACCGCAUAAGCGCACAGUACCGCAUGGUAGAGUGUGAAAAGCCGAGACGGUAUGGGAUGGACCCGCGUCUGAUUAGCUGGUUGGCGGGGUAGAGGCCCACCAAGGCGACGAUCAGUAGCCGACCUGAGAGGGUGACCGGCCACAUUGGGACUGAGACACGGCCCAAACUCCUACGGGAGGCAGCAGUGGGGGAUAUUGCACAAUGGGGGAAACCCUGAUGCAGCGACGCCGCGUGAACGAGGAAGUAUUUCGGUAUGUAAAGUUCUAUCAGCAGGGAAGAAGAGAGACGGUACCUGAGGAAGAAGCUCCGGCUAAAUACGUGCCAGCAGCCGCGGUAAUACGUAUGGAGCAAGCGUUAUCCGGAUUUACUGGGUGUAAAGGGAGCGUAGGCGGUGGCAUAAGUCUGAUGUGAAAGCCCGUGGCUCAACCGCGGGACUGCAUUGGAAACUGUGUAACUGGAGUGUCGGAGGGGUAAGUGGAAUUCCUAGUGUAGCGGUGAAAUGCGUAGAUAUUAGGAGGAACACCAGUGGCGAAGGCGGCUUACUGGACGAUAACUGACGCUGAGGCUCGAAAGCGUGGGGAGCAAACAGGAUUAGAUACCCUGGUAGUCCACGCUGUAAAC